AUGAAGCUCACACAGCUAUUUGCCACCAAUUUAUCAAACAAUAGUGUACAUGAACCUGCAAUACUUACAUACAGUAGAUCAGUAGUGCUACUUUUUUUUAGAUCAACCGUGCAACAUUUAGUUAGUAUAUGUAUGAAGCGCAAAUAUAUUACAGAUGAGGCUAACUACAUCCAGAGGCCCAGACAGUUAGUAUAUUCUUACCACAGAUACUUCAAUUGGAGUGGUUUUCGAUAUGAAACUGUAUUGCCAUGUCCGCCAACAUAUUCUUUCAUAAAGUAUCAAUCAAAACUGAAAAUUUGUGUUUUGCAAGUGCCACUUUCAAUGUUCAGGUUCAAUUCAUCAUACAAUUAUGGAAUAUUAACUCUGAAAUAA
This 372-nucleotide ribosomal RNA is filed under the name Triticum aestivum (bread wheat). Its description in RNAcentral is "partial small subunit ribosomal RNA". Lineage: Eukaryota; Viridiplantae; Streptophyta; Magnoliopsida; Poales; Poaceae. The record is from RNAcentral.